UUGAACGCUGGCGGCAGGGCCUAACACAUGCAAGUCGAGCGGUAGAGAGGUGCUUGCAUCUCUUGAGAGCGGCGGACGGGUGAGUAAUGCCUAGGAAUCUGCCUAGUGGUGGGGGAUAACGUUCGGAAACGGACGCUAAUACCGCAUACGUCCUACGGGAGAAAGCGGGGGAUCUUCGGACCUCGCGCCAUUAGAUGAGCCUAGGUCGGAUUAGCUAGUUGGUGAGGUAAUGGCUCACCAAGCCGACGAUCUGUAGCUGGUCUGAGAGGACGACCAGCCACACUGGGACUGAGACACGGCCCAGACUCCUACGGGAGGCAGCAGUGGGGAAUUUUGGACAAUGGGCGCAAGCCUGAUCCAGCAAUGCCGCGUGCAGGAUGAAGGCCUUCGGGUUGUAAACUGCUUUUGUACGGAACGAAACGGUGAGCUCUAAUACAGUUUGCUAAUGACGGUACCGUAAGAAUAAGCACCGGCUAACUACGUG
RNAcentral lists this ribosomal RNA (484 nucleotides) under uncultured bacterium. RNAcentral describes it as "bacterial SSU rRNA". It matches the Rfam family "Bacterial small subunit ribosomal RNA", at positions 30 to 507 of the family's 1533-position model. The record is from RNAcentral.